AAAUGCCUACGAUGUACGUAGCUUGUGUAUGUCUUAAACCAAUGAGAGUAAUACGGAAGUUCAAUAUUAAAAUGUAGCCAUCAUGCCAUCUUUUUAAGAAGGAAGAUGAAAGCGUUUUUGAGAGCAUCCACCUGCGAGAGCGGGUUUAUGGACAUCUAGAGAGAACGGCAUAUGUGGGUCUUUC
RNAcentral lists this non-coding RNA (184 nucleotides) under Bacillus pseudomycoides. Its description in RNAcentral is "6S RNA". It matches the Rfam family "6S / SsrS RNA". Rfam says of the family: E. coli 6S RNA was the first non coding RNA to be sequenced, but its function was unknown until recently. It consists of 184 nucleotides that fold into an extended hairpin structure with a large single-stranded internal bulge. Lineage: Bacteria; Bacillati; Bacillota; Bacilli; Caryophanales; Bacillaceae. The record is from RNAcentral.